AAAACACGGUGUUAUACCUGUAUCGACGUUGUUUCCUUUUGCCGGAAUGUGAAGAGCUCGGUGUUGAAUCGAAAGAACUGGAAGGGUCAAUACUUUCAGUAGGGGGCUGGGUGUCAGCCACAUCUCCAUAAUCAUCUAAAAUAAAAAAAAAAUGAAAAUUCAAAUCUUAUUCACUGUGAUAACUUGUCUUCUUAUUUUUUUAAUUUGCUAUGUUUUUACAAUUCCAAUUUGCAAAUUAAAGUUCAAAUUUUAUAAUGAGAAAUAAUAAAUAUGACCCUAUUAUCGCCCAAAAGGUAGAUUAUUCAAUUGUAUUCAAGGCAAUGGCAACAUAAUUAGAUCAAGGUUUCACAUCACUUUCCCUUUGACAGUAUUACCGGUGUGGUGGAAUAAGAUUUCUCAUCCGGAGUCACUACACUAAAUCCAACCACCAACCCCUUGCGCUAAUUAGCUUAACACUUUAUUAGGUUGAGGUACUAACUAAGUUUAUAUUGCACAGAGGGUGCAUAAUUCAUUUAGUAUAACUUAAUAACAGGAGUUCUUCUGAUCAGUUUUGUCCAGUUAGUUGUAUUGAACAGAUCACUGUCACUUUCUGUAUUCUAUUAGCUGAUAUUCAUCAAGUUUAAAAUAAUCAUUAUAUUUUAUAUUGUGCAAAUCCCUCAUUGGAGGAUGUAAAAAUUGGAAUAGUGCAAUUACUUGUGUGAUACCAGAGUCAUCAAUAGUGAUUGUGAUAGUUAUUAGUGCAAAUACUGGUGCUCUAAUUACUGAAUGAUUUAAAUUAAUGAAUAACAUCAAGACGAAUUACGCAGCAAUUGAUAACAUCAUAGAUUACUUCUUGCAAGAGAUUUCCCAGGAGAGAAGGGAGCCAGCAACGAGGGAGACCCGAGAAUGCCAGAGACGAGAGGAUCCGUCGGAGAAUUUGCUGACAAAAGUCCACUAAUCGAGUAAGAUGCGCUGCCAGAACUACUGCCACUCGCACUUCGCAGUUCCGAUAUGUCGAUGAAUUGCUUUAUAUCCAUUUUCUAUUUAUUUCAUACUCGACAUUUUUAUAAAUAACAGAAUCGAAUAAAACAAAAUAAUCAAUACCGUA
This is a long non-coding RNA of Nilaparvata lugens (brown planthopper), 1087 nucleotides long. RefSeq lists it as uncharacterized. Lineage: Eukaryota; Metazoa; Arthropoda; Insecta; Hemiptera; Delphacidae. The record is from RefSeq and is a predicted model, not a curated record. The transcript is spliced from 2 exons.